RNAcentral lists this transfer RNA (120 nucleotides) under Achromobacter aegrifaciens. The record is from RNAcentral. RNAcentral also lists the same sequence under 1 other name. Lineage: Bacteria; Pseudomonadati; Pseudomonadota; Betaproteobacteria; Burkholderiales; Alcaligenaceae.
UGCGCGGUGCCUGAGAGUUGCCGAAAGGCCGGUCAAAGGGUGACGCCGCUACAGUCUUUCCAGUGGGGCGCGCGCCCAAUACUGGGGAGGCCCUGGGUUCGAAUCCCAGCCGCGCAACCA